This is an RNA transcript of Daucus carota subsp. sativus, 2527 nucleotides long. RefSeq lists it as uncharacterized. Lineage: Eukaryota; Viridiplantae; Streptophyta; Magnoliopsida; Apiales; Apiaceae. The transcript has 3 exons. The record is from RefSeq and is a predicted model, not a curated record.
GGCCCAUAAGGCCCAAUCCACAGAGACAAACAAUCAAACCCUAAUAAUCAGACAUCCGCCUCUUUCAUUCUAAUUUUCCACUCUCAAUUUCCACGCGGCUGUACUAGGGGCGGCAAUCAGACCUCCGCCUCUUCAUUAUUUCGCAUCCACAAAUCGAAUCUAGUAUCAAAUUUGCAAGCCAAGCGCAUCAAAUCCUCAAAUCGACUCAAAUCCAAGCCAAGCGCAUCAAAUCUUGAAAGAUUAAUGGAGAGUGAAAGCGAAAAUCAAAACGAAAAUGUUGAUGAGCAAGAGCAGCCCGAGAUUGAGCCUCCUGCUGAACAAAAAACUGAUGACGAUGUUGUAGAGGUCGAGAUGUCUAACGCAUCAGCAAUGUCAAAGAGGCGACUAAGUGCCGAUUUUUGGAAAGAGUUUAAUAUGCUGCCUCCGGGGCCGGAUAAGAAGCAAUGGUGUUCGUGUAAAAGAUGUGGUGCCACAUAUGCUUGUCCGAGUACCUAUGGGACAGGUAAUUUGCAUAAACACUUAGAGAGGUGUAAGCGGAGAGAUACGAUAGAUAUUGGGCAGUUGCUUAUAAGUUGUGAUCAUGGGUCUGUUUUUUUAGGAACUAAGAAGUUUGAUCAACAGAAAUUUAGGGAGUUAUUAGUUGUUGCUAUAAUUAUGCAUUGCCAACCAUAUCAAUUCGUAGAAUAUGAGGGUUUUCGAGCUGUGUUUCGUUAUUUAAAUGAGAAUGUCCAGACAAUCUCAAGAAAUACUUGCAAAUCUAAUGUGAAUAAGUUGUAUGCUAGAGAGAAAGAAAGGCUAAAAUCUUUGUUGCAAUCAUCUCCGGGUAGAAUUUUUUUGACAUCAGAUUUAUGGUCUUCUAUAAUUUUAGAUGGUUAUUUGUCUUUAACUGCACAUUUUGUUGACAAAGAUUGAAAUUUGCAAAAAAGUGUACUAAAUUACACUCUAAUGUCACAUCCUCAUACGGGUGUGAAUUUAAGUGAAAAGAUUUACUCAUUACUUUGUGAGUGGGGUAUUGAGCAUAAAGUGUUUGCAAUGACUUUGGAUAAUGCGAGUGCAAAUAUUUGCUUUAUUAAUUUGCUGAUUUCUCAAUUAAAUAUAAGAAAUUUGUUGGUGAGUGAUGGUGAUUAUGUGCAUAUACGUUGUUGUGCACAUAUCUUGAAUCUAGUUGUACAAGAUGGUUUGAAGGUGAUUGGUGAAUGCCUUGAAAAUAUUAGAGAGACUAUUAAGUAUUUGAAAGGGUCACAAGUGACAUAAACAAAGUUUAUUGAAUGUGUUAAAAAUAUGACAAUUGAGCUUAAAAAGGGGUUAAGACAAGAUUGUUCAACAAGAUGAAAUUCCACUUAUGUGAUGCUUGAUGAGGCUUUUAUAUUAUCGUCGUGCUUUUUGCCAUUUGGAGCUUUGUGAUUCAAGUUACACAUAUUGCCCUUAGAAGGAUGAGUGGGACAAAGCGGAAAAGAUUUGUAAGUUUUUUAGUGUCUUUUCUGAGAUAACUCAGUUAUUUUCUGGAAGUAAGUAUCCUACUUCGAAUUUGUACUUCCCGUUGGUUGCAAUUGCUCAUUUAACUUUAAAGGAUAAGUUGAAUAGUGAGGAUUAUUUUAUGAGUUCCAUGGCAGCUAAGAUGUAUGAAAAAUUUUCUAAAUAUUGGGCUGAUUUUAGCACCAUCUUGGCUAUUACUUGCAUCCUUGAUCCUCGAUACAAGCUGAGUGAUUUCUUUUAUAAGAAAUUUUAUGGUGAUGAUUCCUUGCAAUUCAGGGAUCUUAAAAACAAGCUCUUUUCACUUUUUAACAAGUAUUUUGUUAAGGUGUCUUCGGGUGCAAGUGCAGGGACCUCAACUCAAAGACGAGGUGGCCUGAAUAUGUGUGAAAAUAUUUUUGCUAACGAGGCAGAAGAUGUAAUGAAGGACAUGAUAGGGAGAGAAAACAAACGUGCAGGACAAAAUAUAUGCAGCCGUUGGAUGUUUAAUGAUUGGAUGGCCAGGAUUAGGUCUCUACAGUCUCCAAAUAAUCCAGUCUCCAUAGAACUUUCUUCUAUAUAUAUAAACACACACACACACAUAUAGAGUCUAUGUUUAUGUAUAUUUUUCAACAAAUUAACGUACAUAGAUUUAUCAUAUAUUAAAAUAUAAUAUCUGUAGUCAUUGCAUUAAUAGCAAUUGAGAGGUUUCAAAAUAUUUUUUGUUAAAUUUGGGACCCAUACAAUCAUGUAAUUGUUUAUAUAUAUAUUGGGACCUUUAGGCGGAUGCACAUUACCAAACCAAAAACACACACAAACUCAUUCAGGCCAAAAACUAUCUCCAGCUUAAUAAAAAAUGUUGAAAUCAUCUUCCUCCUCGUCCACCACCAUUGCUAAGAACAAACAGGCUAAUUCCCCCACUUUCAUUGAUAACGCCGUGCCCAAUUCCUCUUCCACCGCCGUUACUAAGAGCAAGCAGACAAAUUUCCCCAAUUCCAAUGAUAACACCAGGCCUAAUUCUUCAUCAUUGCUUGUGAAUUGUGAUUGAUGCACAAACUGAGCCUAGAGCACCAGC